Molecule: ribosomal RNA, 499 nt
Filed under: uncultured bacterium
Lineage: Bacteria
Description: partial 16S ribosomal RNA
Rfam family: Bacterial small subunit ribosomal RNA
Source: RNAcentral
GACGAACGCUGGCGGCGUGCUUAACACAUGCAAGUCGAACGGGCCCGCUCUCUUUUUUGGGGGUGGGUUGAGUGGCGAACGGGUGAGUAUCACGUGAGUAACCUGCCCCCUGCUCCUGGAUAACUGCUUGAAAGGGCGGCUAAUACGGGGUGUGCCGGCUGGUCCGCAUGGGCCUGGUCGGGAUAGUUUCAUCUUCGGGUGUUUCGGUGGGGGAUGGGCUCGCGGCCUAUCAGCUUGUUGGUGGGGUGAUGGCCCACCAAGGCGGUGACGGGUAGCCGGCCUGAGAGGGUGGGCGGCCACACUGGGACUGAGACACGGCCCAGACUCCUGCGGGAGGCAGCAGUGGGGGGUAUUGCACAAUGGGCGGAAGCCUGAUGCAGCGACGCCGCGUGAGGGAUGGAGGCCUUCGGGUUGUGAACCUCUUUCUCCGGUGGUGAAGGCCCUGUCCGUUGCGGCGGGGUUGACGGUAGCCGGGUAUGAAGCGCCGGCUAACUACGUG